Molecule: ribosomal RNA, 440 nt
Filed under: uncultured bacterium
Lineage: Bacteria
Description: partial 16S ribosomal RNA
Rfam family: Bacterial small subunit ribosomal RNA
Source: RNAcentral
CCUACGGGUGGCUGCAGUGGGGGAUAUUGCACAAUGGGGGAAACCCUGAUGCAGCGACGCCGCGUGUGGGAAGACGGUCCUCUGGAUUGUAAACCACUGUCCCCAGGGACGAAGAUGACGGUACCUGGGGAGGAAGCUCCGGCUAACUACGUGCCAGCAGCCGCGGUAAUACGUAGGGAGCGAGCGUUGUCCGGAAUUACUGGGUGAAAAGGGAGCGUAGGCGGGACUGCAAGUUGGGUGUAAAAUCUACCGGCUCAACCGGUAGCCGCACUCAAAACUGCAGUUCUUGAGUGAAGUAGAGGCAGGGGGAAUGCCUAGGGUAGGGGGGAAAUGCGUAGAUAUUGGGAGGAACACUAGGGGGGAGGGCGGCCUGCUGGGCUUUUACUGACGCUGAGGCUCGAAGGUGUGGGGAGAAAAAGGGAUUAGAUACCCUAGGAGUC